CUUUACUCUGCCCGUCCACAAACAAGUCUCUGACACAGCCCACAUAACCGUAGUUCAACAGAGCUGUCCACACCUGAGGAAAAGAUAUGGACAGACGCACAACAUCAACACGCACCUCUGUAGGGAAGAUGAGUCCAGCACGGUCCUCAGGUAGUCCUCCCAGACAGCAGGCAGAUGGAAGCCAAAAAAGAAGAGUUGAGAGAGCAGUGAGUGUACCUGAGCGCCCGUCCCUCUGGAAGUCCACG
This is a long non-coding RNA of Thunnus maccoyii (southern bluefin tuna), 245 nucleotides long. RefSeq lists it as uncharacterized. The transcript has 3 exons. Lineage: Eukaryota; Metazoa; Chordata; Actinopteri; Scombriformes; Scombridae. The record is from RefSeq and is a predicted model, not a curated record.